RNAcentral lists this long non-coding RNA (1291 nucleotides) under Oryzias sinensis (Chinese medaka). RNAcentral's name for it is "lncRNA (ENSOSIG00000023228.1)". The record is from RNAcentral. Lineage: Eukaryota; Metazoa; Chordata; Actinopteri; Beloniformes; Adrianichthyidae.
GAAUGGAGCACUGUUCUGCUGAGAGAUAGAUGGGCUGGCUCCAUCUAGCUUGAAACAUUGCUGGUUUGAUCUUCUAAGGCAGAGGUGGGCACUGAGGGCCGCAUUCCUGCAUGUUUUCCAGCAUACCCUGCUCUGGCAUGUUCUAAUUGGCUGGACACACCUGAACCAGGUAAUCAGCCAUGAGUAGGGCAAGACUAUCUGGAAAUCAUGCAGACACACCGGUUCUCGAGGCCUGGAAUUGCCCACCCCUGUUCUAAGGGUAUUUUAUGUGAGUCUGAAUUUGCAUCAAAAUGUUAUGAGGAACUGCAGGACUGCCUGCUGCUGCUGGGAGCCUCUGGCAGCGACCCUGACAGCACAGGGUUAAUAACAAAGAGACAGACCUUCCUGAAAGUCACAUGAUCUGUUCCAGGCAGGAUGAGGAGGAAGGUUGGGAGGGAGGGAGAGAGAGAGGGAGUGGGUGGGUGCUGAGGACCAGGGAGGAGGAGUCCGGAGCAUGUUGCCGUAGCAACAGAAAUCUCUGAAGGGCCGGUGUGAAGUCAGAGGCAAAAUAUUAGCUGGUGACUGCACUUUGAAGCUGGCGCUGCCGUGAGGUUGGGCGGCUUGAUGGGAGGGAUUGGUGGGGGCGAGGGGGUGACUCAUGCUGAACGACACGCUCUGCAUUCUAAUGGAUACUCGCCGUUUCGCUUUCACACCUUCAUCAUUACCUUAAGUACACUCCACUUAAAAAUUGCCUUCUCUUCUCCUUCACAGCAUGGGUCAGGAUGAACUUCAACAACUUCUCCUCUGAGCAAAUCAUCAACUAAUAAAGCCAUUGCAGAAGCCUUUACAGUGAGUUUGGUGAUUUUGCUGGAUGGUGUUGAUAAAGACGAUCUAUGAUAGUACAAGCAAAGAAACAACAGCCAUGGAAUCCAUGAUGUCAUAAAUGCAUGGAUCGACGGCCUGGGUUCAUUUCCCAUCACGGCUGUGUGGACUACUGGAAGCGACGGGGGAGGAUCACGGGCCCUGUGACGUUCCUGAGUCAUCACGCACAACAACAUCUCAAGGUUUACAGGGAGCCAAUGGAGAACAGGCUGACGUUAUGACACAAUGCCGAUUGGUCAAACAAAGCAGUCGCUCGACUUUUUUUAUUCCCAGGUCUGUAUAAUGCACUCAGGGAUCAUGACUCAUUGCUCACAAGCAACAUUCUCAGUCUUUCCUGUGGAUUUCUCAACUUUUAUAUAAGUAAUAACUAUUUAUUCUUUUUUUGGGCAACAUUAAAACAAGAACUUGACAAAAUACGAAAUUAUUAAAA